RNAcentral lists this long non-coding RNA (361 nucleotides) under Mytilus galloprovincialis (Mediterranean mussel). Lineage: Eukaryota; Metazoa; Mollusca; Bivalvia; Mytilida; Mytilidae. The record is from RNAcentral.
CACCCCUUCAUAGAUGGUCAGGUGCUAGGAACAACUUGAGAUUAAAAAAAAACGAUAUAAUCGAUCAAAAAGCUCUAGAAACACGUGUCAGUUGACCUUUGACCUACACCUUAAAACAUGCGUGUAUUGGCAAAUCAAAAUUCAAUAAAACAAGAAUGUGUCCUCAGUACACGAACGCCCCACUCGCACUAUCAUUUUCUAUGUUCAGUGGACCGUGAAAUUGGGGUAAAAUCUCUAAUUUGGCAUUAAAAUUAGAAAGAUCAUAUCAUAGGGAACAUGUGUACCAAGUUUGAAGUCGAUUGGACUUCAACUUCAUCAAAAACUACCUCGACCAAAAACUUUAACCUGAAGCGGGACAGAC